RNAcentral lists this long non-coding RNA (8700 nucleotides) under Populus tremula. RNAcentral's name for it is "long non-coding RNA (PTRE_LNC002840)". The record is from RNAcentral. Lineage: Eukaryota; Viridiplantae; Streptophyta; Magnoliopsida; Malpighiales; Salicaceae.
CACACAGCCCUCACCUUCACUCUCCCCUCUCAGCCGUUCCUCUGGACAACCAUCAACCCGGAACUUUCCCUCUCAGCUGCAGGAGCAAGGGACGAACCGAACGGAGACCAUAGCAGCCUCCUCUGCAAUCUUCUUCCUUCACCGGCCAUCGCUGCUCUCUUCUCUUUCCCUCUCUCCCACCAAGACGACCCAGCAGCAGCUCCUCCACCACGCACGGCUGCACCCGCAGCUUCGGCCUCCAGCCUUGAGCCACUCCUCACUCUACAGCAGGUCGGCCACAGAAGAAGAAGGAAGAACAACAGCUGGAAAAUAAAACGGAAGCAGACCCGAACGGUGGAGAAAAUAAAACAGAUCUGGAAAACUAAGAAAAAUUAAAAUCGACUGCUGUGUUGUUCUUUGAUUGAUCUGCAGGUUGGCGCCGACGAGGAAAGAAGGAGGGAGGAGGUCGUUGCAGACCCCCCUGUUUUCACCUUGUUUUCACGGUGGCGCGUGGAUCCACGCGCCGCCAGUGGCGGGGGUGCGUGAGAUCCACGCGCCACCACUGCCACUGCUGUCCCAACGGCUUCGCAACACUGUUCCGGCGAGUUAGAGGUUUCCAGCACUGUUCCGGAAUGUUUUUGUUCAUUUUGUAAUUUCCAAAUUGUUUUAAUGUAAUAUUUUAUUUAGUUUUGAGUUUUUUGUAAUUUGUAUUUUGUAAAUAUGGAUGUAAAAGAAAAGAAAAGAAAAAGAAAAGAAAAAGAAAAGAAAGAAACAAAAAUAAAAUAGUGAAAGUGUAUGUGUGUGCUUGUAUUUGUUUUAUUUUUUGUACAUAUUUUUUAAUGAUAAAAUUGCAAAUAUAUUAAAGAAGAAUUUAAUAUUUUGAUCGGAUCACGGUUAAGAAUUAUUAACUUAUACGUAAGUGAUAUUUCUAAUUUCCGAAGAAAAGACAAUUAUUAAAACUUCUUUAACACGUCAAAGCCACGAAGCAGCUUACCUCAGGUAGGGUGCGUUAGGGGUGCUAAUACCUUCCCUAACCACAACCAGUCCCUUACCCGUAAAUCUCUAACAAGACCACUACAUCCGGUUUCCUAGUAGCCCGAAAUCAGUUACUAGGUGGCGACUCCAACGAACAAAUUCAAGCAAACAACGAGAUGAAAAAUCGUCAGCCGAUGCUGCGCGUUGAUUUUUUUUUUGGGGUGCGAUAGAAUGGCGACUCCACUGGGGAAGGUAUUUUUUCGAGUAUUGGACUAAGCUUUGUGUAUUUGAUGUGCUUAAGUUUUUGCAUUUUUAUCUUUUUGUUAAUAUUUAUUUCCAUGCAUUUUAUAGAAUUGUCUCAUGCAUCACUUGAAUUUAAUUUUUAAAAGCACACACAAGCUUCUAGGUUAGGUGGGGAACUAGCGAUCUGCCCUAAGACUAUUGGUCAGGGUUCAGAUGCGUGAAAAACCCAACUCAUAUCUGAGUGCUUGCUUGGUAAUGGUGGGUAUACGUGCCUUAACCAUUCCUUGCAACGCCCCCAUACUGUCUUUACGAAGAACGUCACUAGGCAGAUAUGAGACCCUUUUGAGACCAGAUAGAAAACCUACCCAUGUUCACAUAAUGAAUAGAACUUGUCCUGAGGUUGUAUGUGCUAUAGUUUUUUGCAUAAGGGCAAACCCUUCUUGAAGCAUCUUGAACUCAUGACUUGUGGGUGACACAUUGGCCGUUGCUCCGAAAAUUUUCAUUGUAGAGUUUGGGCAAAAAUCACGAUUCUUGUUCAUCAUACAAGAGUUACGACCAUAUUGUCACCUCUCGAAGGGUGAGUUCAUCAUAUAGAUUACAUGUUCAUACAUUUAUCAUGCAUGUACCUGGCUGAAAGGUAGGUCCCCCACACAAGCUGUGCUGCACGUGAUUGAAGAAAGAUGAGGGAAGUGAACAAAGGAGUCAGAUAAAGACUCAUUAUCAGAUUAAGGUUGAGAGCAUCAAAGGUGAAGUAGUUGGACUCAGAUUUGCUCGAACAAGUGUUGCAUCAAAUGGAAAGAAGUGUCUACAGUCUUCUGGGAACACUGCUUGUUCACGUCCAAUUGAAGCUGUAUCUCUCCUUUUCGUCAUGAACAAAGCAACAAGCCUUCAGUCAUCAACUAAUGACAACUCUGAUUCUUGUCCAGUUGCACUGUUAAGUGUUCAUCGCCUCAACAUCAUCUAAUGGAACCAAACGACUGCUAGCCUCAUCUUCAUGGUGCAUUAGUUUGCUUUGAAGUUACUCCUAAUUACGAGCUCAAUUCCAGUUCAACAGCACAAGAUGGUCUGAAAAAGCCAUGAUUGAACACCGAACUUCAAUGUGGCAGAGCUCUCUCUACAAAAAUAAUUUAUGGCUCUGCAAAUUGGGAAUGCAAGAGGGGAUUUAUAAGUUGCAUAUGCUACAAAUAUUUCUCUCAUCAGUUUCAGCACGAAGACCUAGUAGGUUGAAGAGCCAGACCUGGUCUAAAAAUAUGAGCAGACAUCAAACUUCAACGUAGCAGAGCACUCAGCAGGAAUCUGUUUGUGGAUCCGCAAGUGGGAAAUCCAAGAAGGAAUACAGUAGUUUCAGUCAUCUAUGAUUUUCCUCCAACAGUGUCAGUAUUAAAAUGCAAAAGUAGAGAGAAGAGACAUGCCUAGACUGAAAAACAUGAAGAAUACUGAAACUUCAACAGAGCAGGACUUCUUCUAUAGGUGUUUGUUUGCUGCACUGUCAGUGAGAAAUCGAAGAGGGGACAAAGGAGUUUUAGAUUCAUCAGGUGCUCUUCCAAUAGAGAUAAUGUGUGAUUCCACACGUCGGUAGCGGCGAUACUACGAGUUUCUAGGCGCUGCCAAGAUUUCCAAGCUAUUGGAAAGUUUUCUAACAAUCCUCAACCAACCACAACAACAUUGAAUGAUUGAAGUUGUGUGGAUUCGCCGAAGAAUUGAACAAGCUAUGAAGAGAGGAAAGAUUGAAGGAUCUGCCAUGGAUUCCAGAGCAAUGAUGAGAGUUGAAUCAGGAGAUGACUUUGACGGUGUGAACCCUUAAUUAUGUGGUAUAGCCAGGUCUCACGGUAGCAUCAAUUGCUCAAAUGUCUUUGCCAAGAUGGGACAUUCCUCUGCCGAUUAAGUUUGUCGACCAGCAUCUGCCAGAUUCCAGAAUUUUGCUUGACUCGGACAAAUCCCAUGCAACCACCAAUCUCUAGGUGGUAUAAUCCAAAUAAGAGAUGUGAUGUCAUUGGUGGGGUCGUCAACCAUUUCAAGUGAACAGUUUCAAGAAUUGCAAGAAUUGAGUCUGAAAGUUGGUGAGCAAGAGACAAGUGGAGUCGUGAAGGAGGGUGUCAUUGGCUAUAUUGUUCCCCGAACAACUUCAGAAUGACAUGUGAUCGAAAAUGCUUGCAAAACACAGAUAUUGCCAGAAAAGCUGAUUCAAGAAUGGUGAUGAACAGUCAAUCAUAUUGUUUGGAAUUCUGCAUUUUGUUUUGGGAUCACAUCUCAUCCUUCAACGAAACAUGCCUUGCUUUUGUCUUUUGUUGUUUUGAAAUCAACAGAUGUUUAACAUUUUAUUCUGACAAAAUAUUUUGAUCAAACUCCAACAUGCGAUAAAGGUUAAUCAAUCCGGAAGAUUAAAAGUGUUUUGAUUACAGAAAUGACUCUAUGCUUGAAAAUGACAUGAGGUGACCAAACAAUUUUGAACUCAUACCUUUUGAAACUGAACCACACAUCAUAUAGCUAAGUUUUAGCAGUAUGCAUAAUGACAUGUAGUGGAUUCGUAGUUAUGGACUCGUGAAUCAUGAUUCUUACAAGUCCAAUCAUUACACUGGAUGAGGUCAAAAUUUAUCGGUUCUAACCGACCUUGCUUGAAAUGAGAAAAGGCCAUCUUUGAUAUCCCUUCACUUGCUAAAGUUUAUAUCCCUUGUAAUCCCAUUUUGAGCUUGAUAAAGUAUUUUUUUUAUGAAGAAACCCUGACUAGGAUCACACCCCACACUGGGGGCAGAUGAGAGAUAUAUUGGAGACAUUGAUAUGAUUAAUGAAUAAAAGGGAAGGCUUAGAACAAAAGUCCAAUGAUUGAGAGAGAGCUAGAAGAAGACACAUAGACUGGGGGCAUAUAAGAAAAUUUUGAGGAAGGCUAUGAAAAAAAAAAGAGAAUGAAAAAAGGAAGUUGAAAUUGCCCUCACUUAAAUACAAGUCAAAGAUAAAGGAAGGAGAACGCCUAUCAAGUCUAUGAAGAGCAAAAGAAAUUUCAAUCAAGGAGAGACACAACAAAAGUCAAUACCAGAAAAAGACUAAGGUGUAAACGUAACUUUUGGUUUCUAUUAUAAAGCCUAUGAUGUUAUCAGAUGAUUGAGGUUGAUUAUUCAUCAAGGAAAGGGGGAUUUGGAUUAUGACUUAUGGUAAGAAAAGUCUGAACUUUGAGGUUAACAAGGUUAUAUGUUGUUUCCUUUACAAAGACAAUAAUAGAAAACAAGUUGAUGAAUAAUUGAUGUUGAUCCUAGGUCUUUGAAACCCUUAAACACCUUUUGAGCCUUUGAAAUUCCUUUCUUUCAUAGCCAUGAACCAUAGCCUGCAUUACGUGCUUUUAAAAGCCCUUUUUAAUCAAGCAAGCAAUUUGAAUCGAUAAAUGGCGCUCUCAAAACUUGAAGAGUUUUUCCAUAAGGGUCGUGACUUCAUGAAUUAAGCUACUGGUUAUUAUGCAUGUUGAUAAAAUGAAUGCUAAGAAAAGAAACAACCUUUCUUGAUAAAGCCUGAGCAUCUUGUUUUUGAAAUUCAUAAAAAUGUCACCUCAUCACAGACCAUCAAAAGAUAUACCCAAAAUCAGAGUUUAAAGUGGACACAAAGAACCAUGAAAAAGUCAUUUUAAAUCUUACAACGGGUCAUCUCUGUUUUCAAAAUACAAGACAAUCAAAGGACUGCAUUGAAUAAUAUGUUGGGUCUUUGACCAAAGAAGUUUGAAUUUCAAAAGAAAAAAAUAAUAAUUUCAAAAACAGACAUCUCUCUGAUUUCAUUUCAACAUUUAGACUUGAAUAGACAUGAUCGUUGAAAUGUGAGAUUUGAUUCCAGAACAAGAAAGAUUUUCAAACAAGAACAUUAGUUGAGUUUGCAAAAUCCUCGACAAAAAUGACAUCAAUAUUUCUCGACACUCCUUGAAACGUUGACCACCUUGGGGCAAUACAGUGGGCCCUUAGAAGAAAAGCAAACAAUAUCCAGAUCAGCUGGGGGCAAAGAAAGAAUCACAUGAUGAGUCAUCAAAGUCCACCAAAGUCACUCCUGGCAUUCACAAAAGCCAUUUGUUUGUAAACAGAAGAAUGAGCAUGUUCAGAUCAACUAGGGGCAAUGUUGUUCAAAGACAAUCCAUGAUUUAGUGAACUUCAGCAGCAAUUGAUGAGCAACGCUGCAUUUAAAAGAUAUUUUCACAUCUUCAUCUUGGGUUACCCUGUAAAACAUGGCUAUGACUCCUGACAGAUGUUAUCGGGUGAGUGCAUUUGAAUGAACAUCGAACAUAUGCAUACCACUAAGAUUGACUAUGGGACCAUCUAUUCUAAAGCUCAAAUGCACGCUUCACCGCAUGAAUAUGGGUGAUAACAUGAACAUCAUUGAUGAUGCCAAUACAUUUCUUUUUAAGAUCUGAUUAGAUGGGUGAGAAGAACUUUUUGAGGAAAACAUUGAGCUUACAACGAUGAGCCUUUCCCCUACAAAGAAUGAGAUGCAUGUCGGGAUCACGCGGCAGUUCCAUGAUUAUGGAUGACCACAUAUACUUGAAUGAUGUUUCAACUGGAGGCAAGUUCAUGACUGAUUAACAAUCUUGAUGGGUGUUGGCAUGAUGCAUACAAUCAAUCAAAGGAUAAUUCUCAGAAGAAUCCAAGAGAGAAAAUUCUUCAUGAUGAAUCAAGCAUCACCACACUUGGGGGCAUUGUCAAGCUUGAUGAGCGAUGCGAGCAGUAAUUGUCGAAGACAGCCCGGGAUGGGCACUGCAUUUACAGCUGAGUGGAUGGCUAGCACAUGAAUGAGCCAAUGCAUCGGAAGAACAAAGAAAGCUUUGGGAUGCAAACAAGGGCACCCUAUGACGAUGGAGCAUCAAGGAGGGGGGGACCUAUAUUUCAAAUCAGGUAAGGAUGCAUGCAUAUCAUCUAACCUAAAAAAAAAAAAAAAACCAUUUGCACAUAUUUUUGAAUUGUUACAGGAAAAUCCUUAAUGAGGUCCAGCAAGAUGGUAGAAAGAGAAAGAAGCAUUGUGAUGAUGAUAAUAAAGAAUCGGUUUUGAUCAUGGAAUAAAAGGACAAUGGGAUGAACCCUACCAUUAGAAAAAUCCCAAAGAAAUGAAUAGAUCAACCUUGCAAUCGGGAAGCCUCGAGUUUUCAACCCUUGCAGUCAGGAAACACCGAGUUUUCAAACCCUAUGAUCGGGAAUUAUCAGGAAGCACCAAGUUUUCCAGCCCUUUUUCUGUCAUCCCUUCAGACUUCGCCAGGUAAGUCCUAUUUUUCACACUUGUCAUAUCAUUUUUUCCAUCUGGGUAGGUCGCCCAUCAUAAUAAGACCGUUUUCACAUUUUUCCAUCCGGGUAGGUCACCCAUGACAAUGAGACACACUUCAUCAUAUUUUUUCCAUCUGGAGUAGGUCACCCAUUACAAUGAGACCACACUUCAUUUUUUUUUUCCACGUGGGUAGGUCACCCAUUACAAUGAGACCGCACUUCACAUUUUUUCCAUCUGGGUAGGUCACCCAUUACAAUGAGACCACACUUCGUAUUUUUUUUUUCCACGUGGGUAGGUCACCCAUUACAAUGAGACCGCACUUCACAUUUUUUCCAUCUGGGUAGGUCACUCAUACAAUGAGACCAUCAUUUUUCUUGGGUUCGUCACCCAUACAAUGAGACCAUCAUUUUUCUGGGGUUCGUCACCCAUACAAUGAGACCAUCAUUUUUUUCUUGGGUUUGUCACCCAUACAAUGAGACCAUUUUUCACACAUUCUUUUGUUUUGGUUAAAUGAGGUCGCCAAAUGGGAUCUCGGGUAGCUUUGGUUAAAGGGAAUCGCCAGAUGGGAUUUCAGGUUAACCGAGUUACACAAUAUUUUCGUUCCAGUUGAAUGAGGUCGCCAGAUGGGAUCUCAGGUAAACCCAAUGUGUGGGCAGGUCGCCCGUGAAAAUAGACUAUUGGGAGAGUGUGGGUCGGUCGCCCGUGAAAAUAGACUAGAGUGAGUAUGUGUAGGCAGGUUGCCCAAGAUAUUGAAAUCAUUUUCCUUUUGUUUUCUUUACAAAGCUUACUAUGCAAAAUUUUGAGGAUUUUCGCUUCGUAAGCAUUGUAAAGAGGGGGCAUCUAUUGCUACCCAAUUUUUGACCCAUGUUUUUGAUAUAUUUUCAAAAAAUCCAAAAAUAGAGAAAAACAAUGAAAAUCCAAAAAAUAUGUUUUUUUUUAAUAUAUUUUCGUCCUUUUAGCAUUUUCAACGUCGUCUAAAAAAAAAAAAGAAUUUAAAUUGUUAAAAUAUUUUCAAACGCGUUCGACUUUUCACGCGUCAUUUUUAAAAUCAUUGAUUUUCCGCAUUUGAGUCGACGUUGAUAUUGCUCGUUUUCAAAAAAUACAAAAAAAUAAGAAAAAUCAAAAUUUACAAAAAGAAAGAAGUUGAGGGACCAAGUUGAAAAACUUGGCAAUAUUUUUGCCUAUAAAUACUGGUCUUUAACUCACACAAAGGGGGGCAAUUUUGACAACAUCAAAAACAAAAUACAAAAAAAAACCUAAACCUAAACCUAUCUUUUUUUUUCAAGAGGAGCCGCCCCCCAUUUUUCAAAAAAAAGGAAGAAAACCAUAGCAGCUAAACAAAGACAGCCCCUCCCCACUGGAACGUUUGGAUUUCACCCAGCCGGUUUGAAUUUCUUUUUCCCCUCAGUAGCCGAACAACUCACCCUCUCACUUUCCCUUCCCCCGGCCAAAAAAAACCAGAGAAGCCAGGCAGCCCCUCCCCGUCUCCUUAGUCUUCCUCUCGGCCGAAAUUCCACAAUCAGCAAAACCCCAUUUCCUUCUGCAGCCGCCGGCCCCCACGUUGAUUUUGUUUUCCACACAGCCCUCACCUUCACUCUCCCCUCUCAGCCGUUCCUCUGGACAGCCAUCAACCCGGAACUUUCCCUCUCAGCUGCAGGAGCAAGGGACGAACCGAACGGAGACCAUAACAGCCUCCUCUGCAAUCUUCUUCCUUCACCGGCCAUCGCUGCUCUCUUCUCUUUCCCUCUCUCCCACCAAGACGACCCAGCAGCAGCUCCUCCACCACGCACGGCUGCACCCGCAGCUCCGGCCUCCAGCCUUGAGCCACUCCUCACUCCACAGCAGGUCGGCCACAGAAGAAGAAGGAAGAACAACGGCUGGAAAAUAAAACGGAAGCAGACCCGAACGGUGGAGAAAAUAAAACAGAUCUGGAAAACUAAGAAAAAUUAAAAUCGACUGCUGUGUUGUUCUUUGAUUGAUCUGCAGGUUGGCGCCGGCGAGGAAAGAAGGAGGGAGGAGGUCGUUGCAGACCCCCCUGUUUUCGCCUUGUUUUCACGGGGGCGCGUGGAUCCACGCGCCGCCAGUGGCGGGGGUGCGUGAGAUCCACGCGCCACCACUGCCACUGCUGUCCCAGCGGCUUCGCAACACUGUUCCGACGAGUUAGAGGUUUCCAGCACUGUUCCGGAAUGUUUUGGUUCAUUUUGUAAUUUCCAAAUUGUUUUAAUGUAAUAUUUUAUUUAGUUUUGAGUUUUUUGUAAUUUGUAUUUUGUAAAUAUG